RNAcentral lists this ribosomal RNA (459 nucleotides) under uncultured bacterium. RNAcentral's name for it is "partial 16S ribosomal RNA". It matches the Rfam family "Bacterial small subunit ribosomal RNA", at positions 338 to 795 of the family's 1533-position model. The record is from RNAcentral.
CCUACGGGAGGCAGCAGUGAGGAAUAUUGGUCAAUGGGCGGGAGCCUGAACCAGCCAAGCCGCGUGAGGGAUGAAGGUACAGAGUAUCGUAAACCUCUUUUGUCAGGGAACAAAGGCGGGGACGUGUCCCCGGAUGAGUGUACCUGAAGAAAAAGCAUCGGCUAACUCCGUGCCAGCAGCCGCGGUAAUACGGAGGAUGCGAGCGUUAUCCGGAUUUAUUGGGUUUAAGGGGUGCGCAGGCGGUCUGUUAAGUCAGCGGUCAAAGCCCGGGGCUCAACCCCGGCCCGCCGUUGAAACUGGCAGUCUCGAGUUGGAGAGAAGUAUGCGGAAUGCGCGGUGUAGCGGUGAAAUGCAUAGAUAUCGCGCAGAACUCCGAUUGCGAAGGCAGCAUGCCGGCUCCACACUGACGCUGAGGCACGAAAGCGUGGGUAUCGAACAGGAUUAGAUACCCUUGUAGUC